This 73-nucleotide transfer RNA is filed under the name Candidatus Woesearchaeota archaeon. RNAcentral describes it as "tRNA-Gln". It matches the Rfam family "tRNA". From Rfam's summary of the family: Transfer RNA (tRNA) molecules are approximately 80 nucleotides in length. Lineage: Archaea; Nanobdellati; Candidatus Woesearchaeota. The record is from RNAcentral.
AGCCCCGUGGUGUAGUGGUCAAUCAUACUAGGCUCUGGACCUGGUGACGUCGGUUCGAAUCCGGCCGGGGCUG